This 389-nucleotide ribosomal RNA is filed under the name uncultured bacterium. RNAcentral's name for it is "bacterial SSU rRNA". It matches the Rfam family "Bacterial small subunit ribosomal RNA", at positions 28 to 417 of the family's 1533-position model. The record is from RNAcentral.
GACGAACGCUGGCGGCGUGCUUAACACAUGCAAGUCGAGCGGUAAGGCCCUUUCGGGGGUACACGAGCGGCGAACGGGUGAGUAACACGUGGGUGACCUGCCCUCAGCUCUGGGAUAAGCCUGGGAAACCGGGUCUAAUACUGGAUAUGACUCCAUGACACAUGUUGUGGGGUGGAAAGCCUUGUGCGGCUGAGGAUGGGCCCGCGGCCUAUCAGCUUGUUGGUGGGGUGANGGCCUACCAAGGCGACGACGGGUAGCCGGCCUGAGAGGGCGACCGGCCACACUGGGACUGAGACACGGCCCAGACUCCUACGGGAGGCAGCAGGUGGGGAAUCUUGCGCAAUGGGCGAAAGCCUGACGCAGCGACGCCGCGUGAGGGAUGACGGCCU